This 67-nucleotide transfer RNA is filed under the name Ellagibacter isourolithinifaciens. It matches the Rfam family "tRNA". Rfam says of the family: Transfer RNA (tRNA) molecules are approximately 80 nucleotides in length. Their secondary structure includes four short double-helical elements and three loops (D, anti-codon, and T loops). RNAcentral also lists the same sequence under 4 other names. The record is from RNAcentral. Lineage: Bacteria; Bacillati; Actinomycetota; Coriobacteriia; Eggerthellales; Eggerthellaceae.
CGGGUGUGGUUCAAUGGUAGAACUUCAGCCUUCCAAGCUGAUAACGCGGGUUCGAUUCCCGUCACCC